This 497-nucleotide ribosomal RNA is filed under the name uncultured bacterium. RNAcentral describes it as "partial 16S ribosomal RNA". It matches the Rfam family "Bacterial small subunit ribosomal RNA", at positions 28 to 507 of the family's 1533-position model. The record is from RNAcentral.
GAUGAACGCUGGCGGCGUGCCUAAUACAUGCAAGUCGAGCGAACGGACGAGAAGCUUGCUUCUCUGAUGUUAGCGGCGGACGGGUGAGUAACACGUGGAUAACCUACCUAUAAGACUGGGAUAACUUCGGGAAACCGGAGCUAAUACCGGAUAAUAUUUUGAACCGCAUGGUUCAAAAGUGAAAGACGGUCUUGCUGUCACUUAUAGAUGGAUCCGCGCUGCAUUAGCUAGUUGGUAAGGUAACGGCUUACCAAGGCAACGAUGCAUAGCCGACCUGAGAGGGUGAUCGGCCACACUGGAACUGAGACACGGCCCAGACUCCUACGGGAGGCAGCAGUAGGGAAUCUUCCGCAAUGGGCGAAAGCCUGACGGAGCAACGCCGCGUGAGUGAUGAAGGUCUUCGGAUCGUAAAACUCUGUUAUUAGGGAAGAACAUAUGUGUAAGUAACUGUGCACAUCUUGACGGUACCUAAUCAGAAGGCCACGGCUAACUACGUG